This 309-nucleotide long non-coding RNA is filed under the name Vigna radiata. RNAcentral describes it as "long non-coding RNA (VRAD_LNC016968)". Lineage: Eukaryota; Viridiplantae; Streptophyta; Magnoliopsida; Fabales; Fabaceae. The record is from RNAcentral.
AGAGGAGUGCAACAAUGCAAAAGGCAUUUUGGAACCAAGGAAAUGCAUGUUACAACAAUACCAUCUGAAUGAAAAACUAGAACACAAAUGGUGGCACAAAAUAAAUGGGUCAGGAAGAACAUAAUGAGCCUUAACAAAACAUAAAAAAAAAAAACGUAACGAAAGAGAGAACAAACUUAAGAGUGAACAAAAUGUGGAAAUGGACAAGAAUGGAGGAAGUAGAGAAAGAAUGAUGAAAGUAGAGAAUAAACUUCGAUUGUUUGAAUGAACCAAAGUUUAUUAUCAAACAUUUAGAAUAUAAAUUUCGAU